UCCUGGGUCUUAAAUAUUAUAAGCUCAGGUUACCAGCUGGAAUUUAUAGAAUUGCCUCCUCUAGGAUGGGUCAAGCCUACAUCGUUCGAUCCCAUCCUAGAAGAAGAGAUUCUCACCCUUCUCGCAAAACAAGCCAUCCAGAAGGUACCAAGCAGAGACAUACAAAACGGGUUUUACUCCCGGUACUUCCCGGUACCCAAGAAAGACGGUGGUCUAAGACCAAUUCUGGAUCUGAGGGACCUAAAUACCUACCUCAAACCACACCGUUUCAGGAUGGUCAUCUUAGAAGCAAUCAUUCAACUGGUGAAAAGAGGAGACUGGUUUGUUGUUGUGGAUCUAAAAGAUGCCUAUUUCCACAUCACCAUCCAUCAAAAGUACAGGAAAUACCUACGUCUAAUUUUCAUGGACAUCAUUUACCAAUAUGUGGCUCUUCCAUUCGGCGCCUCAACAGCUCCCAGGACCUUCACCAAGUGCAUGGCCCAGGUAGCAGCUUUUCUCCACCUACAAGGGAUACAGAUUUGCCCUUAUACCGACAAUUGGCUGAUCGUGUCCAGAUCCAAAACAAGAGCAAUCAAGGACACACAACAUGUUCUGCACACUCUACAAGUGCUAGGCCUGUCAAUAAACUAUGAAAAGUCCCACCUGGAACCAUCUCAGGUGAUAGACUACACUGGAGAAAGACUGGACUCGGUCCAUGCUCACAUGUUCCUACCACCAGAGCGCAUACGAAAAAUAAGAAAGGCAGUUCAGAAAUUCAAGCCCCAAGGCAGAGUGUCAGCAAAACACACACAACAUCUUCUGGGUCUCAUGGCAUCAACAACUUGUGCCUUAUCCCACGCUCGCCUCAAGAUGCGCUCCCUUCAGUCUUGGCUGCUCACUCUAUUCUGUCCUCUGCAGGACAGUCACCGCAAGCGUCUAACAGUCACACCAGACCUAGCAGAACAACUUCAGCGGUGGACAUUCCCACCACAUCUUCUCAUAGGACAACCUUUUCAAUCCCUGCAGUUGACACAUCAAGUCACAACAGAUGCCAGUCCCCUGGGUUGGGGAGCCCACUGCGAAGGACACCAAAUUCACACUCUUUGGUCCCCUCAAGAAGCCACGCUCCACAUCAAUCACCUGGAGCUGAUAGCAGUGAUGAAGGCGCUCAGAGCAUUUCUCUCUCUGGUGAAGGGCAGAGCGGUACAGGUCGUCACGGACAACACUACGACCAUGUUCUAUAUAAACAAGCAGGGAGGAACACGGUCGAAGUCCCUUCUAUUUCUGGCAGUUCACCUAUGGGAAUGGUGCUACCAUCAACACAUGUUCCCUGUGGCCAUCCAUGUAUCCAUGACGGAGAACCAACUGGCAGACGAGUUGAGCCGCCGCUCAUUUCAAUCUCACGAGUGGGAACUCGAUCAGGAGGUGUUCCUCAGCCUGUGCCACAAGUAGGGACAUCCAUCCAUAGACAUGUUCGCGACACCGACCAAGACGUGCGACAAAUAUGGGAAAGGGCGAAGGGUCACUAGGGGAU
Molecule: long non-coding RNA, 1513 nt
Filed under: Pogona vitticeps (central bearded dragon)
Lineage: Eukaryota; Metazoa; Chordata; Lepidosauria; Squamata; Agamidae
Description: lncRNA (ENSPVIG00000022301.1)
Source: RNAcentral